GCCUCGACCUGCUGCGGGGAGAUGAGGUGGACGUGGCUGUCGAUGGCCCCCGGGGUGGCGAUCGUGUGCUCGCCGGACAGCACCUCGGUGCCGGGGCCGAUGACGAGCCGCGGGUCGACGCCGUUCUCGGUGUUCGGGUUGCCCGACUUGCCGAUGCCCGCGAUCAGGCCGUUCCUGAUGCCGAUGUCCCCCUUGACGACGCCGAGGACCGGAUCGACGACGACGACGUUGGUGAUCACCAUGUCGAGCGCGCCGCUGUGGUUGGUGGCGUUGGGCGCGGAGCCCAUCCCGUCACGGGC
This 299-nucleotide small RNA is filed under the name Streptosporangium roseum DSM 43021. RNAcentral describes it as "5' ureB small RNA". It matches the Rfam family "5' ureB small RNA". Lineage: Bacteria; Bacillati; Actinomycetota; Actinomycetes; Streptosporangiales; Streptosporangiaceae. The record is from Rfam by way of RNAcentral.